Capsicum annuum is the source of this 3227-nucleotide RNA transcript. RefSeq lists it as uncharacterized. Lineage: Eukaryota; Viridiplantae; Streptophyta; Magnoliopsida; Solanales; Solanaceae. The transcript has 2 exons. The record is from RefSeq and is a predicted model, not a curated record.
GUUGUAGACACGUUGAUCUAGCUUAGCAUUUAAAGCAAUUCAAAUUUCUAAAUUCUGAAAGGUUGAAUGAUCCUUUAGCUGGCGAAAAAUUUGUGCAUAAGGAUUAACAUCCAUUAUUUGUCUUAUUAUUGCCACAACUUCUUCAGAUAAAUUGGCUUCUUUGAGUUUUAAAAUCCUAUUGCAUACCUCAUUUUCUGUGUCAGAAAAGCACAACUGAAACUAACAUGGAGUACCAUCAUGUGGAAUUAAAGAGGGUAGAUCAUGAUAUAUUUUACCCUAUGCUCUAAAGUGCUACUUCCGAUCGUGAGAAAAAUAAGUCGUAAAGUUGAGCUGGAACUACAACAUUUGCAAGCUUGAUUGAUCCACCGUCACAGCAGAAAUUCGGUGUUUCAUCUUCAAACCUCAUAGCCCGACAAUGUGUGCAUUGAGGAAUAUUUUCCAACUUGUGAACAGACGAAAUUGAUGGUAUGUAGUCAAUUUCACCUAAAUUUAUGGAGACAUUUUAAAAAAAUUAAUUAAUAAUAAAUGUAGCACAAAUCGAAUGGAUAUAUUUGUAAUUAAUAAAUUAUUAUUGUAUUACCUUCAAUAUCAUAUCGUUUGGAAAGAGCUUUCAAGAACCAAUUUAUUCUGCAUUUUUUAUAAGUCUUUGUUCUUCAAUAUCAAGAUCUUUUGUGGAUUGAACCCUUUUGUUGGCUGCAAAGAGAAACAAAUACUACAUGUGUUAAUGCUACACUUAAAAGUGUGGGAAAAGUCGAAGAUACACUUAAGAGAUCAACAAUUUCACAAAACUUCUGCAGAUUUAUUGAUAUUUCCCGAGAAAAUAUUGGGCUCACAGUUAUAUAUUUUGGUCUAACAAUUGAGUAGCAUGGGAUAGAAAUUGAAAUGUCGCAACAUUUCUUCAAUUUGAAAAAUAUAGGUGGACAAACAGGCCCUAACUUCCAUACACAUUGUUUCAACGGCAUGCGGCACUAAGUAGCUUUACCACAAGUUUUAUAUUAUAUAUAUAAAACUAAACACUUGUUUCAUAUUUGUUAUGUUAAGUUUUGCACUUCAGUACGCUUAUGUAUUGAUUCUGUGGGAGUUUUGUUUUAGCCAGUUUUUUAUGGUGAUCUAGCUUUUCUGAUUUACUUAGUAGUAUCUUUGGAAUAGCUAGUUAGUGCAACUUACUGUGAUGGAAAUGGCACCUCUCCAGCAUCUGCUAACAUAGCAUCGUUAUAUGUGUAUUCUGGUAAUGAAAAUUCUAAUGUCAUUGCAAAUGGUGGUGUAGAGAGAUAUACUGGGUCAAUGAUUGUAAGACCUACAUUUUAGAACUCAUCCUUAAAUGCUUAUGGUUAUUAUGGACUGGAUACCUUGGCUGGAGGAGGUGCUUCAAGUUAGCAAGACCCUAGACUUGGUUUUGAUGGUUUGUGAACAUUUUCUCAUUCUAUGGAUUCCUGGAAUGGUUAUUUGGGAUGUGGUAGGCUUAAUCUUUAGUUUGUCUUCUAUUCUAAUGCUUUUCUCAUGCUUUGUUGUAUGGACAUUCCAUCCUUUUUCUUUGCAAGAUUAAAAAGAUUUAUAGAGUUCUGAUAUUGUGCAGGGUCUAUAUGACAACAAAUAGCAGAGAUCUUUAUAUCCAUUGUAUUUUCUAAGUUGGAUAAAUAAAUUUUGUAAUAGGAUUGUGAACUCCUUCGGUCCUAACGUUGUAUUCUACACAACUUGCUGGUUCUAAUUAUCACUGUCAUGAGGUAAACGGUGUUUUUAAUGGAUAGUUUUUAAAUUUUUUUGUUUUGCUAUAUGUGAGUUGUGCCUCAGUUUAAUUUAUUUCUAUCUUUUUGGCAAAGCCUCAACUAACUUUUACUGAUUACACGUUCUGACUUGUAAAACAUCUGUUUAAUGUAGACAAUUAUGUGAAUUUUAUGAAUGUGCAGUUUCUUGUGGUGUCCUUUAUGAAUAUAAGAAAGAAAAACUAACUGGAAUUAAAUAAAUCAAUUGUUGUAAGGAAACAAUGUGACCAUUGUAUUUGUUGUUUGAGAGGAAAAAGUAAAUAUAAAUUGCGAGGUAAUUAGUACCUGAAUUUAUUAGUUUACUUUCUUGUUCAUGAGCAUUGUUGAUUCCAUUAGUUAAAUUUAUUGUAUUUGCAGCAAUAUAUUUGUCAUACCUUCGAAUGGCUCGGAAAAUUUUGUGUUGAUCUAUAUUGAAAAAAUAACAAAAUUUUUUAUCAUAGUUGUAUACAAUAGACAAAAAUAUAAUAAGUUUAUUAAUUAAUUUUAUAUCUACCUUGUGUCAUGUAUUUAAUAAAUAAUGUCCUGCAACAUACAAUAAGUGAUUAAUAACAUAUAUUGUAAUUAAAUAAAAACAGAUAUCAUAUAAUUAGAUCAAAUUAGAAGCACACAUUUAGCAAAUGUUAAUAACAAAUAUUAGUUGAUAUGCCAGCACAAGUUGCUUAUAUUAUUUAAAAUAUCAAAAAUCUAAAUAAGCAAUAACUAUCUAGAACCUAAAAUUAUUUGAGCUUAACCUAAAAAGAAAGUAGCUAGAUUUAGAAUGGGAAAAAAGGUGGUCUUUUUUCAUAGAGAAUAAAGCAUCACAAAUCCUUUUCAAGUUUGACCUUUUAGAAGCUAUUGGGUCUUGAGUAGCAUCCUCGUGGACUGUUAUCUUUUUGGGUCUUCUUGAUUGUAUUUUCCGACUCUACUUCUUCAUCUAGUACGUCAACUACAAUAGGAUUUUUAAUCUCGUGUACUUCUUCAGCAAUGAAGCGUCGUGCAGCUCGAUCUCUGGCAUAUUUUGCAUUAAGCCUGACAAGAAAUGUGUAUUCUUUUGUGGUACUUAGCAUCAAGGUACGAUAAAAUGGACUUGAUAAAAUAGGGAUUCUUCAUUCUGUAUCAAAGAAGAAAAUGUAUGAGUAAGAAAAAUAAAUUUUUAUUUAGGACUUUUCUAUUAAAGAAGCUAUUUAGAAUUGAAAGAAGCAAGUAAAAAUGGAAAAAAAGGACAUAAACAUAGAAUACCUGUUAACUGAACUUAAUAAUUAUUGUAAAGACUUUUUUUGAUGUAUAACAUUUGUAUGUCGCUUAGAUACCUAGAGUAGGUAGAAAAUUUUGAUGAUUUACGCUCUAGAACAGUAGGAUAAUUUAUCUCCUCUUCACCUCUAAUUUUUAUGCUUUUAUGCUCACAAAACAUAAUGACGACUAAGAUUUCGAUAAUAGACACAAGAUAUACCUAUAAUGAGGAAAUUUAGCGACCUCUUUUUUAAG